AUCCAUCCUUUCCACGGGGCACAAGCCAGUGGCCUUCGGGAGUCUCUCUCCCCAAGGUGGCGCAUCCGUCACGGCUAUCUAUUUCCAGAAGGUUUCCGUUUCCAUCCCCUCCCUCCGAAAGAAAAAACGGCCCCACUCCCGGAUCUGCCUCACCACGACCACCACCACCACCACCACCGCCGCCGCCACCGCCGCCGCCGCCGCCGCCGCCGCCGCCGCCGCCGCCGCCGCCAUCUGCUGUCGCCCUCUAGGGUUGGACCGUUCUAGCUCUCUCCUCUGUGUGGAAUCGCAACGUAGGUCGCCUUGGAUGUCUGGCACCUCUCACUUAGCAGAAGGUUUUGGAGGCUCAGGCUGGGCCACGCUUUGGCCCGGGUCAGUGUUCCGUUCCUCCGGACGGCUUCCUCGUUUUCCACGAGAAGGAGCCGUGAAGACGGAAAGGAAGGGCGGAUGGAUGGCUUCUCCCGUGCUACCGAGUCCCUCUCCCCUUUUCCCCAAAGCGUGAGGGGCGGUCGACAGGAUCGUCUCUGAUGACAAAAGUCAGAGGCACCCCGGGUCAGACACCGUGCGAGGCGUUGGUGUGUUCUCGAGACGAGAACACGUCCCCGUCAGCGUUUCCUGUCGUUCUCGUUCCGAAAGGAUUCACGCGCCACCCCGUCUCCCUCAAGGUCUUAGGGCUGUCGUGCUCCGCAGCCGUCACGUGUCGUGGAUCCUGGGCACCACCACACCACCCCGCCCCCGCCCCCCCGCCAUAGCUGUCGAUCGCUAUGUGGCACGCCUACGUUUGCCCAAAAGGGCAGUCCGAUGGACAGCGUGGGUGCUUUUCCCAGCAGGCAGGCAGGAGACAAAACUCCCCUGCCAAAGGGGCCCUCCCGAAACGGGGAGUGAGGAAGACCUCCUUCUCUUCACGGCUGAAGUUCUCCCUGCCUUUCCUGGACGGGAAGGAUAGCACCUACGCCCGCUGCCGUCGGCGACUUUUAGUCCACCUGGAGAGGAAGAAAUUCUUUCCCGUGGCCGAACCCUGGCGGUUCGUUCGUGCUGCAGAGGACGUG
Molecule: non-coding RNA, 1049 nt
Organism: Equus caballus (horse)
Lineage: Eukaryota; Metazoa; Chordata; Mammalia; Perissodactyla; Equidae
Source: RefSeq, a predicted model, not a curated record